Molecule: non-coding RNA, 73 nt
Organism: Curtobacterium luteum
Lineage: Bacteria; Bacillati; Actinomycetota; Actinomycetes; Micrococcales; Microbacteriaceae
Source: Rfam
GGGGCCUUAGCUCAGUUGGUAGAGCGCCUGCUUUGCAAGCAGGAUGUCAGGAGUUCGAUUCUCCUAGGCUCCA